UAGAUUUCAUGACAUGAUUUCUGGAGCUGUAAGAUGGCUUUUUUUCCAAGGUUUCAUCCUCAUCAAAGUGUGCAUCUCCACCAAAGUCCUUGCCGGGUGCAUAGGCAUGAGCAACAGACCCUCCUGGGCCAUCAAAAGGGAUGAAGUCAUUGUGACCUGAGGAGUGAGUCCCACAGACAGCUGACUGAAGGCUACAGCAGGACAUUCAGAAAGCAGAAAUACAGAUGGAAAAUGCACGGUUAACACUACUCACCAGCUCCUCGGGUUCCGUGGGAAGGUGCUGUAUGAGCGGACGUCUGGUAUUCCGCAUCUGGGCUGCUUCAUCAUGUCCAUCGUCUUACGGUUCAGCUCCCCGGUCACCUCCAGCCCAAAGAACGACUGCAUUUCCCGGAUUUUGUCAGCCAUGUGGUUGAGAUUUGUUGAUUUAAAUAAAGAGUGCUUAUCUUCUUUAAAAUCA
This is a long non-coding RNA of Gallus gallus (chicken), 457 nucleotides long. RefSeq lists it as uncharacterized. The transcript is spliced from 4 exons. Lineage: Eukaryota; Metazoa; Chordata; Aves; Galliformes; Phasianidae. The record is from RefSeq and is a predicted model, not a curated record.